Molecule: long non-coding RNA, 535 nt
Filed under: Rattus norvegicus (Norway rat)
Lineage: Eukaryota; Metazoa; Chordata; Mammalia; Rodentia; Muridae
Description: long non-coding RNA NONRATT027314
Source: RNAcentral
GGCUUCCAGGGACUUCCUGGCCCUCCUGGUCCCCCGGGUGAAGGUGGAAAGCAAGGUGACCAGGAAUUUGGUGUGGACAUAGGGCCUGUCUGUUUCUUGUAAAACCCUCAACCCCAAAACAACACAAUCCAUUGCGAACCCAAAGGACCCAAAUACUUUCUAACCGCAGUCACUCUAGGAUCUGCACUGAAUGGCUGACCUGACCUGAUAUUCAACUAUCCUAACCUCACAGUCCGGACCAUUCUCCCCUUUCUAAGAGACCUGAACUGGGCAGACUGCAAAAUAAAAUCUCGAAGUUCUAUUUAUUUAUUGUCUUCCUGUAAGACCUUUGGGUCAAGGCGGAGACAGGAACUAUCUGGUGUGAGUCAGACGCCCCCCGAGUGACUGCUCCCAGCCCAGCCAGAAGACCCCUACAGGUGCUGGGCGCAGGAACUGUGUGUCCUACACAAUGGUGCUAUUCUGUGUCAAACACCUCUGUAUUUUUUAAAACACCAAUUGAUAUUAAAAACCAAAAAAAAAAAAAUCAUUGGAAAGG